RNAcentral lists this non-coding RNA (148 nucleotides) under Scleropages formosus (Asian bonytongue). Its description in RNAcentral is "Eukaryotic large subunit ribosomal RNA". It matches the Rfam family "Eukaryotic large subunit ribosomal RNA", at positions 2831 to 2984 of the family's 3401-position model. Lineage: Eukaryota; Metazoa; Chordata; Actinopteri; Osteoglossiformes; Osteoglossidae. The record is from Rfam by way of RNAcentral.
UGAUUAAUGGACACAUUAGUUUUAUAAGCUUUUUGACCCUUUGAUGUCAACUCUUCCUAUUUCUGCGAAGCAGAAAUUCACCAAGCGUUGGAUUGUUCACCCACUAAUAGAGAAUGUGAGCUGGGUUUAGGCCGUAAUGAGACCGGUU